RNAcentral lists this long non-coding RNA (6263 nucleotides) under Sus scrofa (pig). Its description in RNAcentral is "lncRNA (ENSSSCG00040018672.1)". Lineage: Eukaryota; Metazoa; Chordata; Mammalia; Artiodactyla; Suidae. The record is from RNAcentral.
AUAUAACAAAAUGACUUUAUUCUCAACAGCUGAAUAAACAUUCCUUCCCCAGGGAUAUGAGCACUGGGAUUAAACUCGGUAGGCGGCCAGGGCCUUCAGGCAGGCCUGUGAGUACUUCCAGCCUCCAGCCACGACCUCUUGUCUGUGAGUCUCGAGGAUGGAGCGGGGCGUGAGUAUCACAUCUGGCUCCUUUGCAGGAUGUUUGGGAAGGUGGAUGCUGCCUGCGGGUUUGGGUUCUCUGGUGGAGUUUCUAUGUAUGCUGCCCAGAAGCCUUGUUUGGGAAAUCAUGCCGCUGUCCUGCAAGCAGAAUCUAAGCGCUGCUGCUCAUCCAGGAAGCUCCCACCACAACCAGGAAGAUGCGGCACGUGAUUUUGAGAGAGGACUUAGAACACCCUGUUGAAAGGUGCGUGUGGACAGCUGUCUCCUGGCUUUGUGAAGGGAUGAGCGCCUGCCUCCUGUGUGAAGCAGACCAGCCUCACGGGGAUGGAGCAGAGCAUCACCUGUCAGCAACUUUGGUUUUGAAAAGAACCUCACGUCUUUGUGGAUGAAGCCUGUAAGCCGCCAGCUCGCACACACAGGACUGGCUGCGCACACGCACUCGCAGAAUGAACAAAAAUGCACCCACAUCAGGUAAGUACUGCUCCGUACUGCAAACUGGAGCCACAAGGCACAUUCCUCGGUCAUGUCGAGUUUGUUUAGCUCUGAAUCUAGGGAGUUCCUGUCAUAGCCCAGUGGAAAUGAACCUGACUAGGAUCCAUGAGGAUGUGAGUUCAAUCCCUGGCCCCACUCAGUGGGUUAAGGAUCUGGUGUUGCCAUGAGCUGUGGUGUAGGUUGCAAAUGUGGCUUGGAUCCCGUGCUGCUGUGGCUGUGGUGUAGGCUGGCAGCUACAGCUCCAAUUUGACCCUCUGGGGAAACCAGAGACCCUGGGCGCCCCUCCUCUCACUAGCCUGGGAACUUCCAUAUGUAGCAUGUGUGGCCCUAAAAAGGAAUUUUAAAAAGACUCUUUUCUUAAAUUCAGAUCUAUUUUUUUAUCAGCUGACCUCAAUUCUUAAAACGCUUUGAACAUCAUGAUGAAAUCCUUAAGACGUAAUGAAAAGUUUAAGGAUUUCUCCUCCUCAGAUGGCAGCAACAAUUAGACAGGGAACUCUUGCCCUGUUACCUGUGUAUAGGAUCAAAUGAUUCCAGACUCUGGACAAAUUCCCGAUGGCUUUUUCAAAGUCAUCCACAUCAUUUCAAGGAUCAGUACUCAGCUCCUCUGCAUAGACGCGAUCCUGGGGUCAAAGUGGAGCUGGUUUGGGGCUGCUGACUGCUGUUUAUCUCAAAGCACAGCCGCAAAGCUCUUGGCCAAAUACCAGAUGACAAAACUGAGGCCCAGAGGGCGUAAGUCCCUUGCUCAAGGUCACGUGGAUCGUUUACAUUCGUAUCUGCCCGGAAGCUCAGAGGAGAUGGUCAAGCACAUGCCUUGGCGGACACUGAAUCCGCAGAUGGUGUUAAACACGCGGGUAGGCACGAAGGAAAAUGCUGUUUUUUUCUUUCUUCAGGGCCACAUGAGCAGCAAAUGAAGUUCCCAGGCUAGGGGUUAAACUGGAGCUGCAGCCUGGCCUACACCACAUCCCCAGCAAUGGCAGAUCCUACACCACAGCUCAUGGCAACGCCCAAUCCUUAACCCACGGAGGAGGACCAGGGGUGGAACUCGGGUCCUCAUGGAGACUGGUCAGGUUUGUUACCACUGAGCCACAACCAUGCAGUCAUUUACUGAGUCACUGCUCACCCCUCUGUGCGAGGCAUGAGGGAGCCCCGGAAAGCUGUCAACCCCAAGAAACGGUCCCUCUUGGGGGUCCUGCUCCGUCUGCACACCUCUGUGUACCCAAGGGUAGAGAGGCAGCUCCAUACCUUUGGCCACGAUGAGCGCCCCCAGGAUGCUGGGCUAAAACCUUGAAGACAGCUGAGCUGCAACGGGAACUCCUGAAAAGGCUAUUUUGACUUGAAAUAGGCACAGACUGGGAGUUAUCAGAUUGAGAGCCUGCUAAACUUUGUCACUUCAUUCUGAUAGUUUACCAGGCUGGAGACAAGAUGGUGGAGACCAGGGACCCUGGGCCUGCCUCCUCUCACGAGAACACCGAAAUCACAACUAACCGCUGAACAACCAACAAUAAAACAGACUGGAACCUACCGAAAAAGAUACUCUACGUCCAAAGACAAAGAAGAAACCACAACGAGAUGGUAGGAGGGGUGCAGUCACAAUAUAAUCAAAUCCCAUGCAGUCUGGGUGGGGGACCCACAAGCUGGAAAACAACUCUAUCAGAGGCCUUCUCCCAUCAGGCCUCCCAGCCUCGGGGUUUGGCAGCAGGAGGAGGAGCAUCCAGAGCCCCGGCUCUGAAGGCAGCUGGGCUUGAUCACAGGAGCUCCCUAAGACUUGGGGAAAAAGACUCCAUUCCUGGAGGACGCACACGCGAUCUCGUGUCCACUGGGACCCAGGGCAAGAGCACUGACUUGACAGGAGCCGGAGCCAGACCUACCUGCCAGUCUUGGGGGCUCUCCUGGGGAGGCGGGGUGGCUGCAGCUUUCUCUAGGUCAUAAGAGGUGAUGGCGGAAAUGUAGAGACACGUUCAUCUACUUGAAGUCCCCUGCCAGAGAGAGACUUCUUGCUUGGGUAAGUAGCACCAAGACCUGGUCCUAUCCAACAGCUUGCAGACUCCAGUCCUGGGACACCUCAGGCCAAACAACCAAGGGUACUGGGAACAUGGGCCCACCUAUCGGCAGACAGGCUGCCCCGUGACUUCAACCACAGCCACCCUUUCUUUCUUUUUAGGGCUGCAACCACAGCAUAUGAAGUUCCUGGGCUAGGGGUUGGAGCUGCAGGCUUAGGCCACAGCAACGGCAGAUCCAAGCCACAUCUGCAACCUACAGGGCAGCUUGUGACAAUGCUGAGGCCAGGGAUCAAACUCAUAUCGUCGUGGGUACCAGUCGGGUUAAUCCACGGAGCCACAACGAUAACUCCAACACAGCCACCUUCAUGACAAGAUCUUGCCAACCCAAAGAGCCAGGUCCACCCACCAGUGGGCAGACAUGGGCCCCUCCAACAGCAAAGCUUGCAAAAGCCUCUAGAUCAGCCUCACUGGGGCUCAGACACCAGAAGCAAGAAAACUACAAUCUCACAACCUGACUCCACAAAUACAGGUCAGAACCAGCUUUUACAUUCUUUUUUUUUUUUUUUUGCCAUAUCCAGAGCAUAGGGACUGACUCUGAGUCAUGGCUGUGGCAACAAUAGAUCCUUUAACCCACUGGUGCCACAGCAGGGACUGAACCUGCACCUCCACUGCGAUCUGAGCUGCUACCAUUGGAUUCUUAACCCACUGUGCCACAGUGAGAACUCCUUCACUGAUCUUUUCUGUUUUCUUCAUUUCCAUUUCAUUUGUUUCUGCUCUGAUCUUUAUGAUUUCUUUCCUUCUGCUAACUCUGGGUUUUGAGAUUAGUCUCCACAUGAUGUGUUUUUUCUAAACACUAUGCCAAUAUGCCACUGAACAACCUAAUGGAUCACUGAAGGAAUCAAAACUACCUAUAGAGAAAUGACAAUGAAGACACAACAACCCAAAGCUUACGGGAUACAGCAAAAGCAGUUUUAAGAGGGAAACUUACAGCAAUAUAAGACUACCCCCAGAAACAAAAAUCUCAAACAACUUAACCUUAUAUCUAAAGCAACUAGAGAAAAAGAACAAAUGAAACUUGGGGGCAGGUCUGGGACACAGGCCACCAGGUGGGGCAUGGGUGCAGAUCACAUGGGUGCAGACACUGCCGCACCCAGCAUCCUAGCCCUUCUCAAAGCAGAAGCCUCCAUGGGAAAAGACAGAAGGAUGCUCAUCGAAGAAGAUAAAGGGUCGGAGCAAGAAGUCAGCUCUGCUGGGGACAUUCUCAGCAUGGAGGAUGUGCAGGAAGCUAGGAUGAGGUACCCCCUUAAACCAGCUAGAAUGGCCAUCAUCAAAUAGUCUACAAACACUAAAUGCUGGAGAAGGUGCCGAGAAAAGGGAACUCUUACUCUGUUGAUAGGAAGGUAAACUGGUGCCACCACAAGGGAAAACAGUAUGGAGAUUCCUCAAAAAAACUAAAAAUAGAAAUACCAUAGGAUCCGGAAAUUGCACUUUUGUGCAUCUAUCCUGAGAAAACCAUAACUUGAAAAGAUACAUGCACCCCAAUAUUCACUGCAGUACUAUUCACAAUGGCCAAGAUGUUGAAGCAGCCUAAAUGUCCAUCAACAGGAAUGGAUAAUGAAGAUGUGGUACAUACACACAAUGGAAUAUUACUCUGCCAUAAAAGAGAAUGAAAUAAUGUCAUUUGCAGCAACAUGGACGGACCUAGAGACGAUCAUACCAAGUGAAGUUAGACAGUGAAAGACAAACAUCAUACAGAUGUCACUUACAUGUGGAACCUAAAAAAAAGAUACAAAUGAACUUAUUUGCAGAAAAGAAACAGACUGAGUUUGGAAACAAACUUAUGGUUACCAAAGGGGACAGGCACAUGUAUACUGUGUUAUGUGGAAUGACUGGCCAAUAGGGACUUGCUAUAUAGCAUGGAAAAUCUACCCAAUAUUCUAUGAUGAUCUACGUGGGAAAGCAGCUGAAAGAGAAUGGACGUGUGUACAUGUAUAACUGAAUCACUUUGUGGUAUGGCAGACAUGACCACAACCUUGUAAACCACCUGUAUUUCAGUGAAACUUAAAACAAUGAAGAAAAUUACAGAAAACAAAAAAACACAUAAACAAAAUACACAAAUAACUCAUACAACAAAACAACCCAAUGAAAAAAUGGGCAGAAGACCUAAAUAGACAUCUCCCCAAAGAAGACAUGUGAAUAGUCAGAAGGCACACGAAAAAAUGCUCAACAUCACUAAUUAUUAGAGAAAUGCAAAUCAAAACUACAAUGAGGUACCACCUCAUAUCAGUCAGUAACGACCAUCCUUUCUAUGUCCACAAAUAAUAAAUGCUGGGAGUUCCUGUUGUGGGUCAGUGGAAACAAACCCAACUAGGAUCUAUGAGGAUGUGGGUGAUCUGUGGCCCUGCUCACUGGUUUAAGGAUCCAGUGUUCCCACAAGCUGCAGUGUAGGUUGCAGAUGUGGCCUGGAUUUUGUGUUGCUGUGGCAAUGGCUGGCAGCUGUAGCUCUGAUAUAAACCUUAGCCUAGGAACUUCCAUAUGCCAUGGGCGUGACCCUAAAAACAAAUGAAACAAAAAGCAAGUGCUGGGAAGGGUGUAGAGAAAAGGGAACCUACUAUACUGCUGGUGGGAAUGUAAACUGGCACAACCACUACGGAAAACAGUAUGGUGGCACCUCAGAAAACUAAAUAUAGAACUACCCUCUAAGCAUGUACCCCACUCCUGGGCAUCUAUCUGGAAAAAUUACAAUUCAAAAAAAUACAUGUACCCACAUGUUCACAGCAGUGCUAUUCACAAUAGCCAAGAGAUGAAAGCAACCUCCAUGUCCAUCCACAGAUGAACGGAUUAAGAAGACGUGGUACAUAUACACACAAGGGAAUACUACUCAGGCAUAAAAGGAAUGAAUAAUGCCGUUUGCAGUGACAUGGAUGUAACUAGAGAUUAUCAUACUAAGUGAAGUCAGAAAGACAAAGACAAAAACCACACGACAUCACAUAUAUGUGGAAUUAAAAUAUGGCCUCCUCCCCCCAGGAUUAAGAUGCUGGAGUAGAAGGACUGGAGCUCACUUUUUUCAUGAAAACAACAAAAUUACAACCAACCUCUGAACAACCUUCAAGAAAAUAGACUGGAAACUAUCAAAAAAUAUACCCUGUUUCAAAAGAUAAAGAGGAGGCCAAUCCAGAUGGUAGGAGGGGCAGUUACCUGAUAAGCAACCCCAUACCCGCCAGGUGGGCGGCCCACACACUGGAAAGUAACCGUAUCACAGAGGCUCGCCCACAGGGAGUUCUGAGCCUGUCACGUUCUCAUGCCUGGGGGUGUGGCAUUGGGAGGAGGAGCCCCCAGAGCACUGGUGCUGAGGAUCAGCCGGGCUUGUGUGCAGGAGCUCCAGAGGCCUGGGGAAACAGAGAUUCUACUCUUGAAAGGCACACAACGACUUUCAUGUGCACUGGGUCUCAAGCCAAAGCAGAGGUGCCAGAGGAAUGUGGGUCAGACCUGCCUGCAGUUCUUGGGAUGAUCUCCUGGGACAACAGGGGGUGACUGUGGCUCCUUGUCGGGGAAGGACACUGGAGGCAAAGUCUCAGGAAGAAUCAGCUUGUGCUCCUCCAGAGGUGGCCA